This is a microRNA precursor of Gorilla gorilla gorilla (western lowland gorilla), 80 nucleotides long. Lineage: Eukaryota; Metazoa; Chordata; Mammalia; Primates; Hominidae. The record is from Ensembl.
CCAGUGACUGUUACCUUGGAGGCAUUUUAUCUAAGAUACACACAAAGAAAAUGCCUCCAAGGUAUCAGUUUAACAGGCCA